GCCUUACCAUGCAAGUCGAACGGCAGCACGGGUGCUUGCACCUGGUGGCGAGUGGCGAACGGGUGAGUAAUACAUCGGAACAUGUCCUGUAGUGGGGGAUAGCCCGGCGAAAGCCGGAUUAAUACCGCAUACGAUCCAUGGAUGAAAGCGGGGGACCUUCGGGCCUCGCGCUAUAGGGUUGGCCGAUGGCUGAUUAGCUAGUUGGUGGGGUAAAGGCCUACCAAGGCGACGAUCAGUAGCUGGUCUGAGAGGACGACCAGCCACACUGGGACUGAGACACGGCCCAGACUCCUACGGGAGGCAGCAGUGGGGAAUUUUGGACAAUGGGCGAAAGCCUGAUCCAGCAAUGCCGCGUGUGUGAAGAAGGCCUUCGGGUUGUAAAGCACUUUUGUCCGGAAAGAAAUCCUUGGCUCUAAUACAGUCGGGGGAUGACGGUACCGGAAGAAUAAGCACCGGCUAACUACGUGCCAGCAGCCGCGGUAAU
RNAcentral lists this ribosomal RNA (484 nucleotides) under Burkholderia cenocepacia. RNAcentral's name for it is "bacterial SSU rRNA". It matches the Rfam family "Bacterial small subunit ribosomal RNA", at positions 46 to 524 of the family's 1533-position model. Lineage: Bacteria; Pseudomonadati; Pseudomonadota; Betaproteobacteria; Burkholderiales; Burkholderiaceae. The record is from RNAcentral.